AUCUUGGGAAAUUUCAUCGUGAUGGGGAUAGAUCAUUGCAAUUGUUGGUCUUCAACGAGGAAUGCCUAGUAAGCGCGAGUCAUCAGCUCGCGUUGACUACGUCCCUGCCCUUUGUACACACCGCCCGUCGCUCCUACCGAUUGAAUGGUCCGGUGAAGUGUUCGGAUCGCGGCGACGGGGGCGGUUCGNCGCCCCCGACGUCGCGAGAAGUCCAUUGAACCUUAUCAUUUAGAGGAAGGAGAAGUNGUAACAAGGUUUCCGUAGGUGAACCUGCGGAAGGAUCAUUG
RNAcentral lists this ribosomal RNA (287 nucleotides) under Polypogon elongatus. RNAcentral describes it as "partial 18S ribosomal RNA". It matches the Rfam family "Eukaryotic small subunit ribosomal RNA", at positions 1549 to 1831 of the family's 1831-position model. Lineage: Eukaryota; Viridiplantae; Streptophyta; Magnoliopsida; Poales; Poaceae. The record is from RNAcentral.